This 253-nucleotide ribosomal RNA is filed under the name uncultured bacterium. Its description in RNAcentral is "partial 16S ribosomal RNA". It matches the Rfam family "Bacterial small subunit ribosomal RNA", at positions 524 to 776 of the family's 1533-position model. The record is from RNAcentral.
UACGGAGGAUCCAAGCGUUAUCCGGAUUUAUUGGGUUUAAAGGGUGCGUAGGCGGGUUAUUAAGUCAGUGGUGAAAGCCUUCAGCUUAACUGAAGAAUUGCCAUUGAUACUGAUGAUCUUGAGUACAGUUGAGGUGGGCGGAAUGUGUCAUGUAGCGGUGAAAUGCUUAGAUAUGACACAGAACACCGACUGCGAAGGCAGCUCGCUAAGCUGUAACUGACGCUGAGGCACGAAAGCGUGGGGAUCAAACAGG